UACGAAGGGGGCUAGCGUUGCUCGGAAUCACUGGGCGUAAAGCGCACGUAGGCGGCUUCUUAAGUCAGGGGUGAAAUCCUGGAGCUCAACUCCAGAACUGCCUUUGAUACUGAGGAGCUUGAGUCCGGGAGAGGUGAGUGGAACUGCGAGCGUAGAGGUGAAAUUCGUAGAUAUUCGCAAGAACACCAGUGGCGAAGGCGGCUCACUGGCCCGGUACUGACGCUGAGGUGCGAAAGCGUGGGGAGCAAACAGG
This 253-nucleotide ribosomal RNA is filed under the name uncultured bacterium. RNAcentral's name for it is "partial 16S ribosomal RNA". It matches the Rfam family "Bacterial small subunit ribosomal RNA", at positions 524 to 776 of the family's 1533-position model. The record is from RNAcentral.